CGGUUUUUUUUCUUUCUUUGGGCUUCACACGGUCCUCGGAUUGCUCCUUAGUUUCUGACGCUACCCCGACAUCAUCAGUUUCUUAUUGUGUAAGAGGGGUCACCUUGAGUGGUCUAGUAUAGACCACUAUCACCAAUGAGUUGUGGUACUUCUCACUAGACACCUCUGUAGCUUCCGUCGGUAUAGCUCAAUCUCGUUCCAG
RNAcentral lists this long non-coding RNA (202 nucleotides) under Gossypium raimondii (Peruvian cotton). RNAcentral describes it as "long non-coding RNA (GRAI_LNC006421)". Lineage: Eukaryota; Viridiplantae; Streptophyta; Magnoliopsida; Malvales; Malvaceae. The record is from RNAcentral.